Molecule: ribosomal RNA, 440 nt
Filed under: uncultured bacterium
Lineage: Bacteria
Description: partial 16S ribosomal RNA
Rfam family: Bacterial small subunit ribosomal RNA
Source: RNAcentral
CCUACGGGAGGCAGCAGUGGGGGAUAUUGCACAAUGGGGGAAACCCUGAUGCAGCGACGCCGCGUGAGUGAAGAAGUAUUUCGGUAUGUAAAGCUCUAUCAGCAGGGAAGAAAAUGACAGGACCUGACCAAGACGCCCCGGCUAACUACGUGCCAGCAGCCGCGGUAAUACGGAGGGGGCAAGCGUUAUCCGGAUUUACUGGGGGAAAAGGGAGCGUAGACGGUUAUGUAAGUCUGGAGUGAAAGCCCGGGGCACAACCCAGGGACUGCUUUGGAUACUGUGUAACUGGAGUACAGGUGGGGUAGGCGGAAUUCCUGGUGUAGCGGUGAAAUGCGUAGAUAUCAGGAGGAACACCGGCGGCGAAGGCGGCCUGCUGAACUGAAACUGACAUUGAGGCUCGAAAGCGUGGGGAGCAAACAGGAUUAGAUACCCCAGUAGUC